AAUUAAGAAGUUAGAUACAAUAAAUUGCAAAUUUAUUAAAAAGCUUAAUUU
RNAcentral lists this transfer RNA (51 nucleotides) under Paratemnoides elongatus. RNAcentral's name for it is "tRNA-Cys". The record is from RNAcentral. Lineage: Eukaryota; Metazoa; Arthropoda; Arachnida; Pseudoscorpiones; Atemnidae.